AUAAAUUGCCUGAUAAAAGGAGUACCUUGAUACGGUAUUAACAUAAAUUUAUAUUUAUAUUUAUU
RNAcentral lists this transfer RNA (65 nucleotides) under Phytosciara flavipes. Its description in RNAcentral is "tRNA-Ile". The record is from RNAcentral. Lineage: Eukaryota; Metazoa; Arthropoda; Insecta; Diptera; Sciaridae.